GUGCGUAACGCGUAUACAAUCUGCCUUUCACUGGGGGAUAGCCCGAAGAAAUUUGGAUUAAUACCCCAUAGUAUAGUAGUGUGGCAUCACACAACUAUUAAAGCUUAGGUGGUGAAAGAUGAGUAUGCGUUCUAUUAGCUAGUUGGAGAGGUAACGGCUCCCCAAGGCGAUGAUAGAUAGGGGUUCUGAGAGGGAUGUCCCCCACACUGGUACUGAGAUACGGACCAGACUCCUACGGGAGGCAGCAGUGAGGAAUAUUGGACAAUGGUCGGAAGACUGAUCCAGCCAUGCCGCGUGCAGGAUGAAGGUCUUAUGGAUUGUDAACUGCU
This 329-nucleotide ribosomal RNA is filed under the name Capnocytophaga sp. X25. RNAcentral's name for it is "bacterial SSU rRNA". It matches the Rfam family "Bacterial small subunit ribosomal RNA", at positions 106 to 434 of the family's 1533-position model. Lineage: Bacteria; Pseudomonadati; Bacteroidota; Flavobacteriia; Flavobacteriales; Flavobacteriaceae. The record is from RNAcentral.